This is a long non-coding RNA of Talpa occidentalis (Iberian mole), 888 nucleotides long. RefSeq lists it as uncharacterized. NCBI's taxonomy places the organism in Eukaryota, Metazoa, Chordata, Mammalia, Eulipotyphla, Talpidae. The record is from RefSeq and is a predicted model, not a curated record. The transcript is spliced from 6 exons.
CAGAUUGUCUCAGAUUUUUCUUUUUCUCUUUUGUCCUCAGGGUCCUUUUCAAAACAUCAGAUCAGUAUUCAAAGGCUUAGUGCAAACAAGGUGAUUCUGGUACCCAAUACAAUUUGAGAUCACUGCUGUAAAUGAAAACCUGGUUCAGCAGCAGAUCCCGGCCUUGGCAGAGCCACCCUAAUGCCACCACUCACUGCUGAUGAUGGACACUGGAACAGCCCUCCUGUGGGCGAGAGGACAUCGGUGUGUAACCACAUGGGGCUGACCCAGUCUACAUUCCUACCAGCAAUGUUGGAGCUCCCCUUUGUCUUCAGCACUUGUUGUUUCUGGUCUUCUUUAUAUGGACCAUUCCCACAGAUGUUGCAUUUUUCACAAAAGGCUCCACCAGCAAGAAGAUGAUGACUUGCUGAAGGCUCAGAUGAUGGAGAAAGAGGGACCUGCAAGCCAAAGAAAGAGAAAUUCACUGAAGCAUUAAUCUGAGAUACUGACAUUCUAAUGAAGACGAACGGUCCUGUUUAGUUGUUCAAUAAAUGCAAUUUUGUUUACUGCUGAAGACUGAUGCACACAGAAGGUAUCAGAAAUUAAGCCCUUGGGGAGGUGACUUAGACAGAAACAUGGGGUGUGCAUUGUAACACUGUGAGAACACAUCCUGCUGUUAUCUCCUGGAGAAGGGACUCAUCUCUGUCACGCCAUGACUGACGUGCUCACCCUAUGGGCUUCCUGAACAGCAGGAAAGGUGCCUGCACCUGAAUUGCUUGGUUCACAAAUUCCCCCAGUGGCACCACUACAACUUUCAUUCCUCGUGCUUUGCAUGUCUUUCAGUAAGCAAUAAAUUCCUGUGUAAUCAUGCCUGGACCUGCGGCUCCCUGUGCUCAGCUAAAAUCACAG